UACGGAGGGGACUAGCGUUGUUCGGAAUUACUGGGCGUAAAGCGCACGUAGGCGGAUUUGUAAGUCAGGGGUGAAAUCCCGGGGCUCAACCUCGGAACUGCCUUUGAUACUGCAAAUCUCGAGACCGGAAGAGGUGAGUGGAAUUCCUAGUGUAGAGGUGAAAUUCGUAGAUAUUAGGAAGAACACCAGUGGCGAAGGCGGCUCACUGGUCCGGUACUGACGCUGAGGUGCGAAAGCGUGGGGAGCAAACAGG
RNAcentral lists this ribosomal RNA (253 nucleotides) under uncultured bacterium. RNAcentral's name for it is "partial 16S ribosomal RNA". It matches the Rfam family "Bacterial small subunit ribosomal RNA", at positions 524 to 776 of the family's 1533-position model. The record is from RNAcentral.